This is a small nucleolar RNA of Mus musculus (house mouse), 140 nucleotides long. RefSeq annotates it as small nucleolar RNA SNORA48. The record is from RefSeq and is a predicted model, not a curated record. The transcript has a single exon. NCBI's taxonomy places the organism in Eukaryota, Metazoa, Chordata, Mammalia, Rodentia, Muridae.
ACCCCCUGGCAAUGGUCAACCGGACACCAUGUUGGUGGUGUUCUUAGAUCAGUCAGGGCGAAGCAGAUGGCAGUCCUUUGUUCAUCCUAGCUUGAUGCUUGGCUUAGUGGCCAAAGCUGUUUUAUGCCUAGGACUCAUAA